Nomascus leucogenys (northern white-cheeked gibbon) is the source of this 2073-nucleotide RNA transcript. RefSeq lists it as uncharacterized. The record is from RefSeq and is a predicted model, not a curated record. NCBI's taxonomy places the organism in Eukaryota, Metazoa, Chordata, Mammalia, Primates, Hylobatidae. The transcript is spliced from 6 exons.
UAACACUGUGAAUUUCUUCAUAACACUAAGCAUGCUCGUAUUGUGAGGAUUUGUCCAUAUCAGUCUUCCUGUCUUCCUUAUAGGUGAUAAGUUGCAAAAGGGCAGAGGCCAAGUCUCUUUCCACAGCUGUAUAUCUGGUGUCAUCACAGAGCCUGGCACAUGAACUUUUCAAUUCGCCCUUGCUUUCUUGAAACCCUGAUGCUGUAAUGAAACCAUACUGCAAUGUAGCCCAGGAGGAAAAGACCACAAAGAGAGAAGAUGCCAAGCCAUGCCAGCUGUGUACCUCAGCCCAGCCUGCAGCUACCCUGCCAGCUAAAUGCAGCUGUAUAAGUGAGCCUUGGUGAAGCCAGUGGAAUCACUUCGUCAACUCAAUGUCCUGGAUUUCCUCGGCCAUGAGACAACAAACCUCGGGUAUCACCCCCAACAAUGAGGCCACUUCAUUGUGGGGCCCAUCUGGGAUCCAAGGUAGAUUCAUCAGAAGGGAAACUGAGGAACCUGAACAUGACUGUGAACAAGUUGUGGUACAGACCUAUGCAGCCAGCAAAGCUCUCAGGGAAACUUCCCUAGAAAAUCCAGACUGGACCCUCUUCACAAAUGGAAGUUCCUUUGUGGAGCAAGGAGUCUGUAAGGCAUAUCUUCCCUCCUCAAACCUAAAGGAUGGGAAGCCAUCCAGGGAAGCACUGGCAGAUAGACUUCACCCACGUGCCAAAGAAGAAGGACAUCCAAUACAUCCUGGUACGGGUAGAUACUUUCACUAACUGGAUAGAAGCAUUUCCAUGCUGUACAGAAAAGGCCUCCGAGGUAAUAAAGUGUUUGUUAGUUAAUGAAAUAACUCCCCACUUUAGUCUACCUAAGUACCUUCAAGGUGACAAUGGCCCCUUGCUUAAGACAACUGUCACAUAAGGGGUCACAAAGGCACUAGGCAUACAGUAUCAUCUCCAUUGUGCUUGGAGACCCCAGUACUCAGGAAAGGUAGAGAAGACAAACGAUAUUAUUAAAAGACAUCUCAGAAAACUGCUCCAAGAAACUCACCUUCCUGGGGUCACUCUUCUUCCCAUGGCUUUACUGUGGGUAAGAAAUACCCGUUCAAAGUUAGGUCUGACCCCGUUUUAAAUGCUGUAUUAACAGCCUUUCCUUACAAGUGAUUUUCUAUUAGACCAAGAGACCUCUAAAUUGGUUAAGCAUGUAACCUCCCUAGCUCACUUCCAACAGAAAUUAACACAACUAGCAGAAGCCCAACCCCCCAAAAUAGAACCAUCAUUAUUUAACCCAGGAGUUGUGGUAUUAAUAAAGACUCUGCCCUCUGUCUCCCUACCUAAGCCCAAGUUAGGAAGGGCCCUACACUGUUCUUUCAACCCCUCAGUGAUAAAAGUUACAGGAAUGGACUCCUGGAUGCAUCACUCAAGUCAAAGCCUGGAAACCUGAGAGAAAGAGCAACCCCAGACAGCCCAGAGGAAUGUCCUGGAUAUCCAUGUGAAGAAAUAGAAGAUCUUAAGCUGAAAAUCAUAAAAGAUAAGUAAAUGAGUAAGGGCUAUUCGUCCUACUCAGUCCCACUUCUACCUUAUCAGAUACUUUCCGUUAUUUCUACUUUUCCUUCGCUGUCAGAUACUAGAACUUCUUUUUGACGCAUACUUGUGGGAAGAUUUUGAUUAUCCAUGAGAUGACACUUGUAACUUCAUAGACUUCUAAAGGGAAAUUCUAUAUCUUGAAGCUACUAAACUCCAAAUGGUGCUGCAGAUGGAACCACACAUGGACAUGCCUUUCUUCCAAGAACCCUUAGAUCAACUAUAGGAGGAGCCUUAGCUGCUGUUCCCCACAUGAUGCCCCUCUUCAGAAGGAAGCAGCCAGAAAGAGUUGUCCUCCAAUACCCCGAACAGCUAUUGUGUUUCCACUCCUCAGGGGGGAAAUAUGAUACAGGAGGUAGAAAGAAAUUAUUUAGGCAGAUAGUGAGGGUAAAAGAGUCCUCAGCAGAGCUUCCCUUUUAACAAAAUGCAGUACAAGAAAUUAUUUUUUUCCAGCCAGGCACGGUAGCUUAUGCCUGUAAUCCCAGCACUUUGGGAGGCUGAGGCAGGC